Pseudobacteroides cellulosolvens is the source of this 163-nucleotide non-coding RNA. Lineage: Bacteria; Bacillati; Bacillota; Clostridia; Eubacteriales; Oscillospiraceae. The record is from Rfam.
UCCAGCGUGAGCUGGAAUCUGAAGAAAGGAUUAGGCAAAACUCUGGCUUGUUACAUCUGAGGCUAGUUACAUGGACUAGGUUGCGAGACAAACCAAAAUCCAAUAACUGUACAGAAAUGUGUCUUGUAUUUAUGAAAUGAGUAUAAGAGGGAAAGAACGUGUG